UACGUAGGGUCCGAGCGUUAUCCGGAAUCAUUGGGCGUAAAGAGCUCGUAGGCGGUUCAGCAAGUCGGCUGUGAAAGUCCGGGGCUCAACCCCGGAAUUGCAGUCGAUACUGCUGUGACUCGAGUCCGGUAGAGGAGAACGGAAUUCCCGGUGUAGCGGUGAAAUGCGCAGAUAUCAGGAGGAACACCGAUGGCGAAGGCAGGUCUCUGGGCCACUACUGACGCUGAGAAGCGAAAGCAUGGGGAGCGAACAGG
RNAcentral lists this ribosomal RNA (254 nucleotides) under uncultured bacterium. RNAcentral describes it as "partial 16S ribosomal RNA". It matches the Rfam family "Bacterial small subunit ribosomal RNA", at positions 524 to 776 of the family's 1533-position model. The record is from RNAcentral.